RNAcentral lists this ribosomal RNA (530 nucleotides) under uncultured bacterium. RNAcentral describes it as "bacterial SSU rRNA". It matches the Rfam family "Bacterial small subunit ribosomal RNA", at positions 777 to 1304 of the family's 1533-position model. The record is from RNAcentral.
AAUAGAUACCCUGGUAGUCCACGCCGUAAACGAUGAGUGCUAAGUGUUAGAGGGUUUCCGCCCUUUAGUGCUGCAGCUAACGCAUUAAGCACUCCGCCUGGGGAGUACGGCCGCAAGGCUGAAACUCAAAGGAAUUGACGGGGGCCCGCACAAGCGGUGGAGCAUGUGGUUUAAUUCGAAGCAACGCGAAGAACCUUACCAGGUCUUGACAUCCUCUGCCAACCCUAGAGAUAGGGCGUUCCCCUUCGGGGGACAGAGUGACAGGUGGUGCAUGGUUGUCGUCAGCUCGUGUCGUGAGAUGUUGGGUUAAGUCCCGCAACGAGCGCAACCCUUGAUCUUAGUUGCCAGCAUUCAGUUGGGCACUCUAAGGUGACUGCCGGUGACAAACCGGAGGAAGGUGGGGAUGACGUCAAAUCAUCAUGCCCCUUAUGACCUGGGCUACACACGUGCUACAAUGGAUGGUACAAAGAGCUGCGAACCCGCGAGGGUAAGCGAAUCUCAUAAAAGCCAUUCUCAGUUCGGAUUGUAGG